Molecule: long non-coding RNA, 318 nt
Organism: Cyprinus carpio (common carp)
Lineage: Eukaryota; Metazoa; Chordata; Actinopteri; Cypriniformes; Cyprinidae
Exons: 3
Source: RefSeq, a predicted model, not a curated record
AAGUAAAUGUUCAGAGUUGAUGUUUCAUCCAUUUAAACAGUCAGAAUCGAUUCUAUACGGAAUAUUAAAGUGUUUCAUAGGAACUAAGCCAUGAUUUUCGUGUAGCUGCUUCAUAGAAAGGCGGUGGAUUUUGUGAAUCUGUGUAAAUAAGAGUCAGUGCUGCAGAUCAGAUUCUGUUUCAUCAUGGAGGACACACAAACAUCCACAGAUCAAGAGUUUUCUCCAGGAUGCAGUUCAGUUCAUCAGAAGAGAUCAGGAGCAGAGUCCAGCUGUGUGUCUGUGAGGAGUGAUGCGUCUAUGAAUCGUAUGAUAUUGUUU